AUCUUAUCGAGAGUGGCGGAGGGAUAGGCCCGAUGAAGCCCGGCAACCGAUUUGUAUACAGCGCGAUUAGCGUUAUGUACAAAUGUCAUGGUGCUAAUUCCUACAAUGACGCAAGGUUUGUGGUCGUUGGCAGAUGAGAA
Molecule: non-coding RNA, 140 nt
Filed under: Paenibacillus sp.
Lineage: Bacteria; Bacillati; Bacillota; Bacilli; Caryophanales; Paenibacillaceae
Also listed under: 1 other name
Description: SAM-I sequence
Rfam family: SAM riboswitch aptamer (S box leader)
About the family: The SAM riboswitch is found upstream of a number of genes which code for proteins involved in methionine or cysteine biosynthesis in Gram-positive bacteria.
Source: RNAcentral